GUAAGUAGCUAACUUUACCUGUGUUCGUGAAACAGGCAAGAAGCUCGUAUUAGCUGUUGAGGCAUAAGCAAUGUUGGGCCUGGUAGUUAAUGUUAGCUAGCUAACUGAUAGCUGAAGGUGUUUAGCUAUGACUUUGGUUAGUGUCAUAGCUAGCCAGCUAAUUCCGCUGUGGAGACCAUCAUCGGACUGGGACUGUUCGCACUGGCUAUCCUGGGACCUUCCAGUUGGAUUCUCGCCAACAUUGAGGACUACAAGAAGAAAGAUUAACUUAACAUGAACUCAUGUUAAUGGAUGUUCCGUACAUUCUGUACUCAUUCAAGACUCUCCUGGGACCAUCAUUAUUUCAAGAACUCUAUGGAACAAAUCCCCAACCUCCAUGAACUACCUCUCCAUCUCCACUGUACUCUCCUCACUCCUAGUUUACUCUUCAGCCCUUUGGAGAACCGUCUGCAAAUAGAAUGGCUGCACAACAUCUCAAGAUUUGUGAAUUUGAUUUGAACAAGGAGUAUGUUACAAUAAUAAAACAUAAUUAAACUUGAAAUAUUCUAGUCUCAAA
Molecule: long non-coding RNA, 556 nt
Filed under: Salmo salar (Atlantic salmon)
Lineage: Eukaryota; Metazoa; Chordata; Actinopteri; Salmoniformes; Salmonidae
Description: lncRNA (ENSSSAG00000108440.1)
Source: RNAcentral